RNAcentral lists this long non-coding RNA (991 nucleotides) under Equus caballus (horse). RNAcentral describes it as "lncRNA (ENSECAG00000050996.1)". The record is from RNAcentral. Lineage: Eukaryota; Metazoa; Chordata; Mammalia; Perissodactyla; Equidae.
AAUAUCCCAUCUCCAUCAUCCAGAGGCAGAAAAUGAGUUGUGUGUUUGGGGAAAGAAUUUCCUCCUUUCUCUGUGGCAGGAGUCAUUCCAUAUGGGUUUUGGGGUGUGGCGAGGAGGCAUGCCAGGGCUCCCCACCAGGAAGAUGCUGAGAUGCUUAGAAUGGGUUCAUGACCAGUAAGCAGUCUUGUCUGGGAGUAGGUAUAAGCUGUUUUCUAUGUAGGGUCUUCCCUAAGCUUCCAGCAAGGUCUUUACAAGGCUCACCUUCAUGUGAUCUGUGCUCUGAGAAACUCAAUGGAGCAGGGUCCUGUCCUACAACCUGGAGUUGGAGGAAGAGUGGCCAUCCACAGUGGAGGAACCACAGCUGUGACAACACACCCCUCAGUGUUAUCAGCAGCAACAGAGGCCUGAGGACAACAGAUGUCAAAGAGCAAGCAAUGAAGCAACAUGUUCCAGAGCACAGAUUUGUUACAAGAUGAAUAAUGUGGUAGAAUAUUAAAAAUUAUUCUACAAAGAUUUUCAAAUUGCUGCAGUUGAAGAUUGACUUAAGCGAAAAGUGACAAAGACAAGGAGAAAAGUGUCGGAGACUAAGAUGUGCAUCGAUGGGGUAGACGAAAUUGAUGCCAGGAAUGGUCUGGAAGAGAAGGCAAUCUAAUAUUUCAGCCCGCUGGCACACGAAUACAAAAUCAGGAAACUGUUGACGAGUAUUGAGCAGCAACCCAGCAACUUAAAUGUAUAACUGAAAAGAAAAGGCAAAGACAUCUGGAGAGUAGAUUGAAACUGCAUUGUCAAACGAAUAAGAAAGCAUGUUUACUGAAAGUGACAUGGACCUCCAACGCUACUUCAUUUCUGUGGUAACACAGAGACUUCCAACAAAGUGAAACAGCACCCGUGACUCCACAGCCUCUUGUACUUAUCCAAGCAAACAAUAAAAAAAGCUUUUCCACAAAGUCUGAUUAUUUACAAUUACGAUAUAAAGCAUCACUGUAUACAC